AGGCCGAUUUGGAGUGGUUCCCUCGCAAGCUCCUGCUAUUCCCCACCUCUCGCGACGUUCUGCAUCUAGAUUGUUUUCUUCAGUGGCAGGAAGGUGAGUGGGAUGACCAUAUGUCAGGGAGUGUUUGGUUUAAAGAGAGAUCACUGGGGAUGAGUUCACGACCAUGUUCCUGCUAAUUUUUGGCAAUAUGGUUCAGAGAGUGGUAACUAUUUGGUCAAACAAACAUCUUCCUGUCUUGAUAUGCCUUUUUAUUUUUGGUUAUUUGUGAGAACUUUUAGUACAUGUCUUUGUCAUAGCUAGAACUUCUGACAACUUUGAAGCAAGAAUGUUCAGAGAAAUUGUUCCAUGGAAUAGCUAAACGAUAAUACUAUUAUUGAUUUAUGAUAGUUUGCACAUGCAUACAGAAAUAGAUAUAUUCAAGCCUGUAAUGGCUAACAGCCAAAAGUAUGAAUCUAUUCUUGAUACUCUUUUCCCCUUCUCUUAAAAUAAUCAUAUACAAAUUAUAAGCUUUCUAACAUCUGCAUAUUUCAGGUUUCCAAGGAGGUACAGAAAGCAAGGUUCAAACAAUUCAGUGCAGCAGCAGCAACACCUCCAAGACUGGGCGGUGCCCUAUGAUGUGAAGCCGGUGUAAUAACUUUUUCAUUUGGCAUCGGUGGUGAUGUGACAACCUUUUAGACAAUUUGGCACCUGUAACACAGUGGAAGACCUCAUACGAGCUGGUUGCCUUCCUGGUAGUUGUUGCGGGUUUUGAAUUAAGUGUACAACUAUGUUUAAAACGCCAUGAUCAGAAGCUGUGGUGGGUGUACAGAUUGACUCUUAUUACAUGACUAUUCCUAAGAUUGAUUC
Molecule: long non-coding RNA, 846 nt
Organism: Triticum aestivum (bread wheat)
Lineage: Eukaryota; Viridiplantae; Streptophyta; Magnoliopsida; Poales; Poaceae
Exons: 2
Source: RefSeq, a predicted model, not a curated record